This is a long non-coding RNA of Cydia pomonella (codling moth), 3454 nucleotides long. RefSeq lists it as uncharacterized. Lineage: Eukaryota; Metazoa; Arthropoda; Insecta; Lepidoptera; Tortricidae. The record is from RefSeq and is a predicted model, not a curated record. The transcript is spliced from 2 exons.
UAAUAGUAAAAGUAUUAAGGUGUCGACACAAUCUCACCAUUAAAUUUUGAAUUAUUUAAUAGUAUACUAAGGAAAGAGUGACCAAGUUUUCCGGAGGCAGAGCCCGGAAUCGAACCGGUGUCUCAGCAUAAGCGGCUGAUGCCCCAAACACAAAAAAAAAAAAUAGAUUGAAUACUCUUUAUUGGCACACCUCAGUACAAGAUACAGCUUAGGUCGGUAACAGCCCUCAGAGCCUCAGACUUCAGGGGUCUUAUGAUGAUUAUAAAUAAUUAUUUUUUACUAAAUAAUCUAUUUUGAUAUUCUACAGUAUUCCUGUUCAGGUACAUACCUACUACACAGGGCUAUUUCGGCUUAUUAUAUUUUAUUAAAGUUUAUAGUGUUUGGGUGUCGGCACAAUUGCAGCAUCCGACGCGCCGUCUGCCGCGCCAAUUGCGCCCGCGCACCCAUCGGUCACGGUUGCAGCUGAUAGCCCAAUCAAUAAGGCCCUUUAUUUUGACGACCGGGCUGGCCUUGUCGGUAGCCUAUGAAGCCAAUAGGUUCGAAUAACGCGAAAUAAAAUAUUGUCAAGAGGAGAAAUAGCAAUCAUAGAGAGAAAUACUUCAAAUACAUUCAAGUACUCAUACUCAUAGCCUUUACGGGGAUAUCAGCCAUGCACUCAUACUCUUUUGUUACAUGUGUUUACACUCAAUAAAGUGUGAAAUAUUAAUGUAUUCUCUGACUCAUUUAGACAUCAAAUGACUAUCUUCAUAUUCCUUAUGUAAUCGUGAAUGAAAAUGACCGCUGUAAGUUAUCAUGUGACAUUAAAUGUUAUUUUAUCAUUUAUCUAGUACUGUAUAUUGUGCUUUGUAAACAGGUUACUUUGAGUGUUAACGUCCGUAUUUAUGUUAUGUCAGGGAUAGAUUCUUGUCUCGGAUUAUGUACAGUUUCCUGGAGUGUAAUUGAGAUAAAAUGUAACCAAGUGCUCUGUUCUUUCAGGCAGUACCCAUUUCACGUUCAGGAUAAAAUCCUCUGAUGCGCCGUCGGAAAAUUUCCAAUAUUGUGAAAAAUCCACAUGGAAAUUCACUGGGCUGUGCUCUGAAGAAUUGUUUGACAUGAUGCCAACGGCCACUUUCUAUCACCGUGCCGCUCGCCGUCGGCAGGGUGUUCAUCCUCUCACCCUAGAACCUAAAUGGUCGCGUACUGUGCAGUUGAAGAGGAAUUUCCUCCCGCGGACGCUCCGGCUGUGGAAUGAGCUUUCUUCUGAGGUUUUCCCGAGGGUCUACAGUGUGGGGUUCUUCAAAAAAGGAGUGUACAGGUUUUUAAAGGGUCGGCAACGCGCAUGUAGCUCCUCUGGAGUUACAGGCGUAUAUGGGCUACGGAGACUGCUUACCAUCAUGUGGGCCGUAUGCUUGUUUGCCAUCGACGUAGUAUAAAAGAACCUAGGCACUUACUGCAAAAACAAGAUACCAUUCUUAUUCAUUAGUAAACAAACAAACAGUGCAAGUAUAUUAAAAGAUUCUAUAAAGUUUAAUGGCACUAGAGAUGACCACAUCGUCUGGCAUUGACCGCUGUGCAUUUAUCGCUCUCUUUGACAUUUGGGCUGACGCAUCGUACCGCCUGGGCAUACUCACAUGAACCAGUAUAAGCAGAUCUCUGAUAAAGCACAGUUAUUACUGAUCUAGGGGUCACACUAAUAUUGGUAUUCCCUAAGCUAAUGGCGUCAGCGAAAGAAUUAACAGUGACCGCUGUGAGUGAACGUUACUGGUUGAAAACAGACGGGCAUUUAGGUCAAAUUUUAGUUGCCUAGUGCCCACAUAACUUCCUUUACGUAGCGUAGGUUAAAAACAAUGUAAUUUAAGCGAUAUCAUUUUGUUGAAUGAGUCCCGUAAUACACAUACACAUAUUUUACAUACGUGCAUAAUGUCGCAUAGUACUUGCAUUAAUAAUGAUUAUUUGUUUAAUGAUAGUAUUGUAUAAUGGGAAAAAAACCUUUCCGUACGUGAAAUUAAAUUACAUAUGUGUAAGGUGAGGUUAUUAGUUUUUUAUCUAAAUAUAAUAGACAGGAAAGGUUUGUUUGUAUUUUUAUUUGGUGUAGCGCCCUACUUCUGAGCGGAUGUUGGUGAAUACAGAUUUUACUGCGUAGGUACUUAUAAACAAUUAUUAACUGAAUAAAAAAACAAAAGAUUUGACAGAUGUCACCAAAACAGAAUGGCCGCCACGGGCCGCCAAUAUUAAUCUACCCGUGUCGAUUAAAAAACCCUUUAUUAUACGUCAUCCUUUUUUGCCUACCCCAUAGUAAACGCAUGUAUUAUGGCCGCACUUAUCACAAAUGACAAGAUAUAGCAUACAUUACUUUCUAACACAGCGCGUUAAUUUCUUAUUAACGACGGCACAAUCAUGUCAUUCUAUAAUUGUAUCCAUAUUACGCCUUCGUCAGACAAAUGGAUACAGAGAGCCUACCGCGAAACACGUAAUCUUGUUAUCUGCCUCUCUAUCGCUCGAAUAUGAAAGAGAAAUAGAGAGGCUGAUAACGAAAUGUCGAUUUUCGUGUUUCGCGGUGGCCCUCAGGACUCUUUAUAAACUCGUUAUCUUAAGGUGACCGAGAUUUAAAUUUAAUGUAAUUAAAUGAUUUAUUAAUGCAUGUGUGGAGGGUUACAUUCUUAACUAAAACAUAAUUAUAAGCAUUAGGUAUUAUAAUUUUUGUAAUUUCGCACGUCAUGUACUUUACGCAGUUUCUACCCGUGGAAACUUGUAAUUGGCUUACUGUCUCUAUUUCGCAACCUAUUUUGCUACUCUAGCUGUAAGUUUUCCUAAUGAAACUACUCCCACCGAACUCUAGCUUUUCAAACUUAUUUAGUGUACAAACAUUUCAUGACGACACACAUAAUCACAUUAUAUAAAUAUCAAUAUAUUGUUCUUCUUCUUCUUUUAAAAUAUGGCUUCCAUCAAAUCUAUGAUGAUUUUUCCAAUGUCAAGUUUCGUUGUAAGUUUUAAGUCUGCUCGUAGAGCAUGACGUUGUUUGGUAGUUGCUUUUAGUAAAGAGAUAGCUGGACCUUACUAAAAGCCACGAUGGAUUGCCGAGUGUUGAUGAGUGGUUAAACGCGUUUCCAGAUUAGUCUUUCAUUAGCUGCACACUUCUACGACAGUUCACUGCAUAAUAAGCUAUCAAUAUUACACUUUAAACUAGAUGAAUGAGCAAAACACAAAAAAAUAUUCUCGAGACGUCUUCGCCAUCUUGAAUCUCAACGAUCUCAACGUCAACCCAAUAUAUUGUUAUUUCUGGCACAAUUUAAUGUCAGAUGAAUGUACAGCAAUAAGUGUCAUGUCAUACAGCUGUCACAUAACGACUUACUCAUAUUAUACCUAGCGUCCUGGGAAAAUUGUGUAACAAACAAAUUUUGUUAAAGUUGCCUUAUCAUUUGUAAAUAUAAAUUAAUAGAAUAGACAUAUUUUUAUUAUAGAAAAAUAAACGGUU